GCAAGUCUGGUGCCAGCAGCCGCGGUAAUUCCAGCUCCAAUAGCGUAUAUUAAAGUUGUUGCAGUUAAAAAGCUCGUAGUUGAACCUUGGGCUUGGUUGGCCGGUCCGCCUUUUUGGCGAGUACUGGACCCAACCGAGCCUUUCCUUCUGGUUAACCUUUCGCCCUUGUGGUGUUUGGCGAACCAGGACUUUUACUUUGAAAAAAUUAGAGUGUUCAAAGCAGGCCUUUGCUCGAAUAUAUUAGCAUGGAAUAAUAGAAUAGGACGUUUGGUUCUAUUUUGUUGGUUUCUAGGACCAUCGUAAUGAUUAAUAGGGACGGUCGGGGGCAUCAGUAUUCAGUUGUCAGAGGUGAAAUUCUUGGAUUACCUGAAGACUAACUACUGCGAAAGCAUUUGCCAAA
Molecule: ribosomal RNA, 400 nt
Filed under: uncultured Debaryomyces
Lineage: Eukaryota; Fungi; Ascomycota; Saccharomycetes; Saccharomycetales; Saccharomycetaceae
Description: SSU rRNA
Rfam family: Eukaryotic small subunit ribosomal RNA
Source: RNAcentral